This 492-nucleotide ribosomal RNA is filed under the name uncultured bacterium. RNAcentral describes it as "partial 16S ribosomal RNA". It matches the Rfam family "Bacterial small subunit ribosomal RNA", at positions 29 to 507 of the family's 1533-position model. The record is from RNAcentral.
AGUGAACGCUGGCGGUAGGCCUAACACAUGCAAGUCGAACGGCAGCACAGUAAGAGCUUGCUCUUACGGGUGGCGAGUGGCGGACGGGUGAGGAAUACAUCGGAAUCUACUUUUUCGUGGGGGAUAACGUAGGGAAACUUACGCUAAUACCGCAUACGACCUACGGGUGAAAGCAGGGGAUCUUCGGACCUUGCGCGAUUGAAUGAGCCGAUGUCGGAUUAGCUAGUUGGCGGGGUAAAGGCCCACCAAGGGGACGAUCCGUAGCUGGUCUGAGAGGAUGAUCACCAACACUGGAACUGAGACACGGCCCAGGCUCCUACGGGGGGCAGCAGUGGGGAAUUUUGGACAGUGGGCGAAAGCCUGCUCCAGCCAUCCCGGGUGGGUGAAGAAGGCCUUCGGGUUUUAAAGCCUUUUUGUGGGAAAAAAAAAGCAGCAGUUUAAUACCCCGCUUUUCUGAGGGUCCCAAAAAAAAAAGCCCCGGCUACCUUCGUC